UACAGAGGGGGCGAGCGUUGUUCGGAAUUACUGGGCGUAAAGGGCGCGUAGGCGGCCUUCUAAGUCGAACGUGAAAUCCCUGGGCUCAACCCAGGAACUGCGUCCGAUACUGGUUGGCUUGAAUUCGGGAGAGGGAUGUGGAAUUCCAGGUGUAGCGGUGAAAUGCGUAGAUAUCUGGAGGAACACCGGUGGCGAAGGCGGCAUCCUGGACCGAUAUUGACGCUGAUGCGCGAAAGCCAGGGGAGCAAACGGG
Molecule: ribosomal RNA, 253 nt
Filed under: uncultured bacterium
Lineage: Bacteria
Description: partial 16S ribosomal RNA
Rfam family: Bacterial small subunit ribosomal RNA
Source: RNAcentral